ACAAAGUUAAACUGCCACUGGGGAAGAGCCUCUUUCAACAGACCCUGCAGACUGGCUAUCACCUCUGACAGACUGCAGCACAGAGGCUAUUCGCCCAGGGCCGCCACUGUCUCUGUGCACGGAGGACACGAAGAGAACAAAAGUUCAGGAGGAAUCAUGGACAGAGGUGUUGCAGCAACCAGCAAUCAGGAACCUGAGGAGGAGCCUCAGACAGCAGUAGCACAGCAGCACGACUCUUCUGACUGCAGCCAUCCAGCAAGCAGUAUGUGAGGAGCAAGCACAAGUGUCCCAUUUGUGGGGAACUGUAUAUAGUCCAACACCUGAGAAGCAUAGAAGAGGUGGUCAACAAAACAGAGUUGAGUCUUCUGAGCAAGUUUUCUCACAGACAGUGAGUGUCCCGUUUCCUCUUAAGAAAUGUGUAACCCAGAUGUAAUUCCAGUUACUAAGUUUACUAUAAGUGUAUUAUUAUUGUUUGUAUUAUUUGGGGUGUAGUGCCCUUUAAGGGUUAGGAUGGCACCCUAUGACAUGUUUUUACGACAUGUCGGGUGAGUUACGAUAGCGCCCCUGUGAGAAUCGCAAGCUCAGACAGCUAGGGCUCCACAGUGUAUGUUCCCUCUGUGUGCUCUGCUCAUCAGGUCAUGUUGUGUUUUUCCUAUUCGUCGUGUGGUGUAAGAGACUGCUGCGCAUGUCUUGUGGCGUCUAAGGAAGACAGCUGCCAGCUGCCAUCGCUGGGACAUCGAUUUCCCUAACUCCUUUAACAUACACACACGACUUCCUCACAUAGAGCUCUAUGAACAUAUUUAGUACUUUUUGCUGGCGAGCAGUUCUAUUAAUUUUUUUUCUCAAAGGACAAUUAAAGGACACAAUUGUGAACUAUUUCCUUUUCUUGGAUUGAAGACCAUUUCGGAUUUCAUUUCAUUUCAUGGACUGAGAAAAGGACUCAAACUAACAGAAAAUGGGUACAAGUUUGAUAUUAUCCAUACAGAAUUUAAUUUUCUAUAUUACUUGAUGAAAGUGUGUUUUCUAUGUUUAGACUGUUGGCGUUGUUGGAAGAAUGGGGUAUGUUGCAUUUCAGUCCAGUUUGAAUUUCAAAAUAAAUCUGGAUCAAUAGUA
Long non-coding RNA from Scatophagus argus, 1113 nucleotides. RefSeq lists it as uncharacterized. The record is from RefSeq and is a predicted model, not a curated record. NCBI's taxonomy places the organism in Eukaryota, Metazoa, Chordata, Actinopteri, Scatophagidae. The transcript is spliced from 2 exons.